UCAGUUCGGAUUGUAGUCUGCAACUCGACUACAUGAAGCUGGAAUCGCUAGUAAUCGUAGAUCAGCAUGCUACGGUGAAUACGUUCCCGGGUCUUGUACACACCGCCCGUCACACCACGAGAGUUUGUAACACCCGAAGCCGGUGGAGUAACCUUUUAGGAGCUAGCCGUCGAAGGUGGGACAAAUGAUUGGGGUGAAGUCGUAACAAGGUAGCCGUAUCGGAAGGUGCGGCUGGAUCACCUCCUUUCUAAGGA
RNAcentral lists this ribosomal RNA (254 nucleotides) under Staphylococcus aureus. Its description in RNAcentral is "partial 16S ribosomal RNA". It matches the Rfam family "Bacterial small subunit ribosomal RNA", at positions 1288 to 1533 of the family's 1533-position model. Lineage: Bacteria; Bacillati; Bacillota; Bacilli; Caryophanales; Staphylococcaceae. The record is from RNAcentral.